RNAcentral lists this ribosomal RNA (409 nucleotides) under uncultured bacterium. RNAcentral's name for it is "bacterial SSU rRNA". It matches the Rfam family "Bacterial small subunit ribosomal RNA", at positions 29 to 437 of the family's 1533-position model. The record is from RNAcentral.
AUUAAACGCUGGCGGCAUGCCUUACACAUGCAAGUCGAACGGCAGCACGGGGGGAACCCUGGUGGCGAGUGGCGAACGGGUGAGUAAAGCAUCGGAACGUGCCCUGGAGUGGGGGAUAACGUAGCGAAAGUUACGCUAAUACCGCAUAUUCUGUGAGCAGGAAAGCAGGGGAUCGCAAGACCUUGCGCUCUGGGAGCGGCCGAUGUCGGAUUAGCUAGUUGGUGGGGUAAAGGCCUACCAAGGCGACGAUCCGUAGCGGGUCUGAGAGGAUGAUCCGCCACACUGGGACUGAGACACGGCCCAGACUCCUACGGGAGGCAGCAGUGGGGGAAUAUUGCGCAAUGGGGGAAACCCUGACGCAGCCACGCCGCGUGAGUGAUGAAGGCCUUCGGGUUGUAAAGGCUCUGUC